This is a non-coding RNA of Gasterosteus aculeatus aculeatus (three-spined stickleback), 1591 nucleotides long. NCBI's taxonomy places the organism in Eukaryota, Metazoa, Chordata, Actinopteri, Perciformes, Gasterosteidae. The record is from RefSeq and is a predicted model, not a curated record.
AGAAUCGACCCGUUUCCACUAACUUCUCCGGACAUUUUGUAGCAACAUUGUUCACUUUUGAUCGAAACUCGUUUUCUUGCAAAUCGCUCCUGGAUUCCUCUAAAGAAGACCAGCGACACUUUGAGUCGGAUAUGAUUUUUUUCUUCUUUAUGUCUUAGUUUUGAACUUUCUGCUCGUUUUGCUUCAAAUAAUCCUCCACCAGCUUCGGUGUUUUGCCUCAACACCACCUUCCUCUGGCCUCCACCUUCAGCUUCUUAUCUCAUUUUGUCGCACAGCUGAUUGAGAGAAACUCGUGUUUCUAUUUCUCUUCACGGAGUCGUUGCUUCUAUUCUCGUUAUCUGAUCUGAACCAACUAGUCCAGCUGGUUCCACCCAGGUCGCCUCCAUUUACCCUCCGAGAGAAGCGACCCCACCCUUUAGUUCACCUCCACCCUUUAGUUCACCUCCACCCUUUAGUUCACCUCCACCCUUCAUCCGCAACGCACAAUCCGCCAGAGAAGCGUCCUCAAGCGGAUCUGGAUCCAUAAAAACUCUUUUCUUUCACUCUUUUGUGUUGUUUUUUUUGUUUCCUUUUGUUUCCUCGUGAGUCAAACCGGAGAAACAGGAAGUGAAACGUUCUUCACUUCCUGGUUUCAUCGUCCAGCUUCCAUUCUGCACAAUGAGGUCGUGCGUCGUUCUUCUCUUUGCUUCUCUGCUCACAUCAUGUGAAGCACAAGGAACCAUUGUGACUCCUGUGUUUGUGCUGAAGGGACGUGAUCUGCUCCUCAAGCUUCAUGCUGAUCCUCCUGAGGGGGUUUUAUUUGUUGACUGGAAAAUCAAUAAAACAGUCACUUUAGUAAGAAUUCAACUUAAUGGAGAACAAACUGUCGAUCCACGUUUCACUGGAAGGGUUCAGUUUGGUGAGAAUAAAUUCUCUGUGAUAUUGAAGAAUGUACAAGAGGUCGACAGUGGAGUUUAUUCUGCUGUAGCAGGAACACCUACAGAAGACAAACUAGUAGCUGAAUACAAGGUCACAGUUCAAGGACCAGCGUCUCCAGUUGAACUGAUCGUGGACCGAGUGGACUCCAGCAGCUCAGAGUCAUGUGACCUCCAUGUGACCUGCAGGACUCACAACGCUCACAUCAGCAGCACUUUCAGAUGUUCUAAACGAGUCUGCAGCCAAACGGGAGGAGAGCAACCAGAGGUCACGACCUCUGGGGCUUCUCUCCAGGUCUACGUGUUGAACAACGUGAUCAUCUGUAACCAUAACAACCAGGUUCACAGGACCCACGACUUCAAUAAUGCUGAACAACAUUGCUACCCAAGUACUGGUAAGAAAGAGGAGACAACUUCAUGAUAAUAAUGCAGCCUCUGCCCCUUUAACAAAACACACCUUAAGGUCGGCGCAUUCUUCUGCGUCGUUGCGUCGACGCACUCGUUUUAAUUCAUGAAUGCAUGAUCUAAAAGUCCUGCGUGUGUUGCAGAGCAAUUCACCGCCAGAACAACAGGUGGAGUAAUGUGGUUUUGUUUAAGACGACUUAGAGAGUCACGUCUAUUUAUUUGUUUGUUUAUUUAUUUAUCAUAGACUUUAUUGCCCCGUGCAUCCACACUGC